AAAAUUGUAAAUCUAGACAAAAAUUAUAACUCUGUAGAACAAAUGAAAUAGAAAAGAAUCGGAGUUUAUAUACUAAUAGAUACCAGUCAAACUUCUUGAAAUGUAGAAUAAAAUGUUCAGAUAUUUCAGAGUUUAUAAAGAUGAGCAAGAAAAAAAAUCUGAACUAAAAAUUCACAGAUGUAAUAGAAACAAAAAAAAAAAAAAAAAAAAGACCUGAAAAAUAAA
This is a long non-coding RNA of Juglans microcarpa x Juglans regia, 225 nucleotides long. RefSeq lists it as uncharacterized. NCBI's taxonomy places the organism in Eukaryota, Viridiplantae, Streptophyta, Magnoliopsida, Fagales, Juglandaceae. The transcript has 3 exons. The record is from RefSeq and is a predicted model, not a curated record.